GAUGAACGCUGGCGGCGUGCCUAAUACAUGCAAGUCGAGCGAACAGACGAGGAGCUUGCUCCUCUGACGUUAGCGGCGGACGGGUGAGUAACACGUGGAUAACCUACCUAUAAGACUGGGAUAACUUCGGGAAACCGGAGCUAAUACCGGAUAAUAUAUUGAACCGCAUGGUUCAAUAGUGAAAGACGGUUUUGCUGUCACUUAUAGAUGGAUCCGCGCCGCAGUAGCUAGUUGGUAAGGUAACGGCUUACCAAGGCGACGAUGCGUAGCCGACCUGAGAGGGUGAUCGGCCACACUGGAACUGAGACACGGUCCAGACUCCUACGGGAGGCAGCAGUAGGGAAUCUUCCGCAAUGGGCGAAAGCCUGACGGAGCAACGCCGCGUGAGUGAUGAAGGUCUUCGGAUCGUAAAACUCUGUUAUUAGGGAAGAACAAAUGUGUAAGUAACUAUGCACGUCUUGACGGUACCUAAUCAGAAAGCCACGGCUAACUACGUG
RNAcentral lists this ribosomal RNA (497 nucleotides) under uncultured bacterium. Its description in RNAcentral is "partial 16S ribosomal RNA". It matches the Rfam family "Bacterial small subunit ribosomal RNA", at positions 28 to 507 of the family's 1533-position model. The record is from RNAcentral.